GACGAGGUGGCCGAGUGGGUAAGGCGAUGGACUGCUAAUCCAUUUUGUUCUGCACGCAUGCGUUCGAAUCCCAUCCUCGUCG
RNAcentral lists this transfer RNA (82 nucleotides) under Saccoglossus kowalevskii. RNAcentral describes it as "tRNA-Ser". It matches the Rfam family "tRNA". Rfam says of the family: Transfer RNA (tRNA) molecules are approximately 80 nucleotides in length. Their secondary structure includes four short double-helical elements and three loops (D, anti-codon, and T loops). The record is from RNAcentral. Lineage: Eukaryota; Metazoa; Hemichordata; Enteropneusta; Harrimaniidae.